This 457-nucleotide long non-coding RNA is filed under the name Rattus norvegicus (Norway rat). RNAcentral's name for it is "long non-coding RNA NONRATT012039". Lineage: Eukaryota; Metazoa; Chordata; Mammalia; Rodentia; Muridae. The record is from RNAcentral.
GAAUGGCCUGGACUACACUACACUGUGCACAUCCUCUGUUCUAAGUGCCUUAAGAGAGGGUCGCCAAAUCCACACGCUUUCCCAGUAAAUCCCAGGCAGAGCCUGAGGGACUGAUGGUACCACCAGCAUUGCCAGCACCGACACCAGCAUCAUCACCGACUUGCUCUGAGACCUUUCAAAGCUAAUCCUCCCUUUUGAGGGAGAAAGCUUCCCUUUGUCCUAAGGAUCACUGCGGUCUUGGUUAUUUAUUCGCUCCUCCUUUGGAAGGAUCAAGGUCAUCAAGUCAUUUCCAGCUUCCAGAGACUAUGGACUGACUCUGAAGAAGACAGCACCAAUUAGAGUGGGUGUUGCCAAGCAUAUGCGACUACCACUGGCAGGUCUCUUUGUCGAGGGAGGCUUUGUUGAGGUGUUUGCCUAUUAUUAGCCUAUUAAAUGUUGAGAGAUUCAAAGAGUUAAA